ACCAUCCAACUAGUCAAAGCACAAUCUACCAGCAUAGAUGUCGGAUGCUAGUACGACCUUUUGCAGUUUCUUGUGCACAAUCAACCGGUGUGUUUCAGUGAAGACAUGAAGAGACUUCUACAUGGCAAGAUAGACAGAUUGCAUGCACAUUCUCCGGAUAGUGACAAAGUGGCGCGAUAAAUGGUCGAUUGGGUGUUUUUUCUUUAUCCUUUUCCCAUUAGAUGGUUGAACAAGCACCCGAGUCUUGCUUGAUUUAACAGUUUCUUUUGUCCCUCACGUUCGGACUACUUGAUCUGGUGGAGCGCAGUCUGUAUUUCUUUGCCAGUGUUGGCUUUGUAUGAAAAGGAAACCGGUAGUGUUCUCACUAUGAUGGACUUUUCUAUUUAAGGGCCACGGCAGCAUAGGAUAUAA
Molecule: long non-coding RNA, 411 nt
Organism: Rhodamnia argentea
Lineage: Eukaryota; Viridiplantae; Streptophyta; Magnoliopsida; Myrtales; Myrtaceae
Exons: 2
Source: RefSeq, a predicted model, not a curated record